This 484-nucleotide ribosomal RNA is filed under the name uncultured bacterium. RNAcentral describes it as "partial 16S ribosomal RNA". It matches the Rfam family "Bacterial small subunit ribosomal RNA", at positions 30 to 507 of the family's 1533-position model. The record is from RNAcentral.
AUUGAACGCUGGCGGCAGGCCUAACACAUGCAAGUCGAGCGGAUGAAGGGAGCUUGCUCCUGGAUUCAGCGGCGGACGGGUGAGUAAUGCCUAGGAAUCUGCCUGGUAGUGGGGGAUAACGUCCGGAAACGGGCGCUAAUACCGCAUACGUCCUGAGGGAGAAAGUGGGGGAUCUUCGGACCUCACGCUAUCAGAUGAGCCUAGGUCGGAUUAGCUAGUUGGUGGGGUAAAGGCCUACCAAGGCGACGAUCCGUAACUGGUCUGAGAGGAUGAUCAGUCACACUGGAACUGAGACACGGUCCAGACUCCUACGGGAGGCAGCAGUGGGGAAUAUUGGACAAUGGGCGAAAGCCUGACCCAGCCAUGCCGCGUGUGUGAAGAAGGUCUUCGGAUUGUAAAGCACUUUAAGUUGGGAGGAAGGGCAGUAAGUUAAUACAUUGCUGUUUUGACGUUACCAACAGAAUAAGCACCGGCUAACUUCGUG